This 490-nucleotide ribosomal RNA is filed under the name uncultured bacterium. RNAcentral describes it as "partial 16S ribosomal RNA". It matches the Rfam family "Bacterial small subunit ribosomal RNA", at positions 30 to 507 of the family's 1533-position model. The record is from RNAcentral.
AUUGAACGCUGGCGGCAGGCCUAACACAUGCAAGUCGAACGGUAACAGGAAACAGCUUGCUGUUUCGCUGACGAGUGGCGGAAGGGUGAGUAAUGGCUGGGAAACUGCCGGAUGGAGGGGGAGAAAUACUGGAAACGGUAGCUAAUACCGCAUAACGUCGCAAGACCAAAGAGGGGGACCCUCGGGCCUCUUGGCAUAGGAGGUGCCCAGAUGGGAUGAGCUUGUUGGUGGGGUAACGGCUCACCAAGGCGACGAUCCCUAGCUGGUCUGAGAGGAUGACACGCACAACUGGCCCUGAGACACGGUCCACACUCCUACGGGCGGCCGCAGUGGGGCAUAUUGCACAAUGGGCGCAAGCCUGAUGCAGCCAUGCCGCGUGUAUGAAGAAGGCCUUCGGCUUGUAAAGUACUUUCAGCGGGGAGGAAGGGACUAAAGUUAAUACCUUUGCUCAUUGACGUUACCCGCAGAACAAGCACCGGCUAACUCCGUG